AAUAAAAUCACUAAAGUACUAAAACAUAUUUAAAAUUACUACAAUUUUCGGCCAAAAAAAACGGUCACCACCACAUGCACACAUCGCAGUGCACGGGAGACCCGAUUUUCCACAUUCACAACGACCGUGGCAUUCUUUCUUACAUCCACAAUGUACAAGCUUCUGACAAAAUGAUGAGGCCUCAAAAAGAGUUUUUAAAAAGUUAUCCUCUUUGUCCCCGCCUGGACUGGGUAGCAUAAGAGCCAAUCCCAAGCUCGCCUCCCUAAACACUUACCUAAGUAUAUUGCAUGUUUUACAUGCUGGAAAAGACUAGACCAAGUUGAGGGAAUAGCCUCAAAAAGCCUUCCCUUUUGCGCAAAUAGUUUUUUUCCUGCUUCGUUAGCCAUGUUUUAUCCAUCUGUUAAGUUUUUGCGAUCUUACAGUAAAACCCCGUUUCUGUUAAAGUCACAUCUUCAAAUGCCAUCAAUGUCUUCCACGCAGUCUUUUUCUUUUCUUUUCAAGCAAAGAGAGAACCAUAUCACAACCGGUUAAGGCAUGGAUAACAAUAAGUGUGUGUGAUCACUCAUUGCCUUGUGCAUUUGAAAGGCCAUUAAUAAAUAUUAAUCCAAAGUCUUUUGCCCUCCCAAACACAAUCCAUGGUUUGUCUACCCCUAUGUCACGGAAUAGCGAAACAGUAAUGACAGCAUCAUAGUUAACGACUGUUCGAAUCAUGACUCGUUUAAGUUCGUGUUUCACUGCAUCAGACAC
Molecule: long non-coding RNA, 747 nt
Filed under: Mytilus galloprovincialis (Mediterranean mussel)
Lineage: Eukaryota; Metazoa; Mollusca; Bivalvia; Mytilida; Mytilidae
Source: RNAcentral